UCUGAAUCUGCGUACGGCUCCGCAAACCAGUUGUAAACUAUAGCAAGCAUGCUCGGGAUUUGGCCCUCACGGGUUGGGUUUCGGGUGAUAAGGAUAACCCUGGUAAUUCUGAGGCUAAUACUAGAACGCAAAAACUUGACUGACCGGUUUUACUGGGAGGUUGGGGGGCGUGCAAGUGGGUUUCGCAUAGGAUAACCGGGAAGGGGUGCACGUUUGGACCGCGAUAAAGACAGACUGGUUUCGGCCGGCCUGAGCGGCACUUGCGUUGUGCUUCUGACCUAUCAACUAGAUGGCAGCGUAACGGACAUG
Molecule: ribosomal RNA, 309 nt
Filed under: Diderma alpinum
Lineage: Eukaryota; Evosea; Eumycetozoa; Physariida; Didymiaceae
Description: bacterial SSU rRNA
Rfam family: Eukaryotic small subunit ribosomal RNA
Source: RNAcentral